AGGGCCAUUAAGAGCAGCACGGCCCUGCUGAGAUUUGCAGUCACCCUCCCCGAGUUUGACAUCUCAGCAGAGUUCCCUAGGCUGGGUCAGCACGUGGCCCAGCUGGCUCUGUUUGUGAGUUACCCAGACCAGGACAUCAGCCGGCAGGCCAGGGAGGGGACUUACCGGCUGUACCAGCUGCUGCUCGAACAGAGGGGUAAGGAACCCACUGGGACACGGAACCCAUCAGGGGACUGAAAGGGACCACAGGGCUGAGCAUACACGAGGUGGAGGAUCUGUGGUGCCACAACUGGUACCAGGACAGCAGGC
Long non-coding RNA from Mauremys reevesii (Reeves's turtle), 309 nucleotides. RefSeq lists it as uncharacterized. The record is from RefSeq and is a predicted model, not a curated record. The transcript is spliced from 3 exons. NCBI's taxonomy places the organism in Eukaryota, Metazoa, Chordata, Testudines, Geoemydidae.